This 108-nucleotide vault RNA is filed under the name Carassius auratus (goldfish). RNAcentral describes it as "Vault RNA (ENSCARG00000053565.1)". It matches the Rfam family "Vault RNA". From Rfam's summary of the family: This family of RNAs are found as part of the enigmatic vault ribonucleoprotein complex. The complex consists of a major vault protein (MVP), two minor vault proteins (VPARP and TEP1), and several small untranslated RNA molecules. It has been suggested that the vault complex is involved in drug resistance. The record is from Rfam by way of RNAcentral. Lineage: Eukaryota; Metazoa; Chordata; Actinopteri; Cypriniformes; Cyprinidae.
GCGUUGGUGUGGCUCAGUGGUUACUUCCGAAUUCAAGCGAACUCCCCUCUCAUGUCCGCUGGGACACCGCGAGCAGAGAUCGAACCUCGGGCACUGUCCAACGUUUUC